AUUGAACGCUGGCGGCAUGCCUUACACAUGCAAGUCGAACGGCAGCACGGGAGCAAUCCUGGUGGCGAGUGGCGAACGGGUGAGUAAUAUAUCGGAACGUGCCCAGUCGUGGGGAUAACGUAGCGAAAGCUACGCUAAUACCGCAUACGAUCUAUGGAUGAAAGCGGGGGAUCGCAAGACCUCGCGCGAUUGGAGCGGCCGAUAUCAGAUUAGGUAGUUGGUGAGGUAAAGGCUCACCAAGCCGACGAUCUGUAGCUGGUCUGAGAGGACGACCAGCCACACUGGGACUGAGACACGGCCCAGACUCCUACGGGAGGCAGCAGUGGGAAUUUUGGACAAUGGGCGCAAGCCUGAUCCAGCAAUGCCGCGUGCAGGAUGAAGGCCUUCGGGUU
This 392-nucleotide ribosomal RNA is filed under the name uncultured bacterium. Its description in RNAcentral is "bacterial SSU rRNA". It matches the Rfam family "Bacterial small subunit ribosomal RNA", at positions 30 to 424 of the family's 1533-position model. The record is from RNAcentral.